CAUAGGUUUGGUCCCAGCCUUCCUGUUGGCCCCCAAUAAACUUACACAUGCAAGCAUCCACACCCCGGUGAAAAUACCCUCAAGGCCAACAUGAGCCAAGAGGAGUGGGCAUCAAGCACACAGACACCUGUAGCUCAUGACGCCUUGCUCAACCACACCCCCACGGGAAACAGCAGUGACAAAAAUUAAGCCAUAAACGAAAGUUUGACUAAGUUAUAUUGACUAGGGUUGGUAAAUCUCGUGCCAGCCACCGCGUCAUACGAUUAACCCAAGCUAACAGGAGUACGGCGUAAAACGUGUUUAAGCAUAACACCAAAUAGAGUUAAAUUUUAAUUAAACUGUAAAAAGCCAUAAUUAUAAUAAAAAUAAACGACGAAAGUAACUCUACGAUAGCUGAYACACUAUAGCUAAGACCCAAACUGGGAUUAGAUACCCCACUAUGCUCAGCCCUAAACAUAAAUAAUUACUAAAACAARAUUAUUCGCCAGAGUACUACCGGCAACAGCCGAAACUCAAAGGACUUGGCGGUGCUUUAUACCCUUCUAGAGGAGCCUGUUCUAUAAUCGAUAAACCCCGAUAAACCUCACCGGUCCUUGCUAAUACAGUCUAUAUACCGCCAUCUUCAGCAAACCCUAAAAAGGAACAAAAGUAAGCACAAUCAUCAAYACAUAAAAACGUUAGGUCAAGGUGUAACCAAUGGAAYGGGAAGAAAUGGGCUACAUUUUCUAUCCUAAGAAAAUUAUAUACGAAAGUCAUUAUGAAACUAAUGACUAAAGGAGGAUUUAGUAGUAAACUAAGAAUAGAGCGCUUAGUUGCAUUAGGCCAUGAAGCACGCACACACCGCCCGUCACCCUCCUCAAGUUACCAUGACGCAUUCAAAUCUAUUUACACGUGUUAACCAUAUGAGAGGAGACAAGUCRUAACAAGGUAAGCAUACUGGAAAGUGUGCUUGGACAAAU
RNAcentral lists this non-coding RNA (959 nucleotides) under Neotragus moschatus (suni). Its description in RNAcentral is "partial 12S ribosomal RNA". It matches the Rfam family "Bacterial small subunit ribosomal RNA". Lineage: Eukaryota; Metazoa; Chordata; Mammalia; Artiodactyla; Bovidae. The record is from RNAcentral.